RNAcentral lists this ribosomal RNA (827 nucleotides) under Bacillus sp. enrichment culture clone CBMAI_966. RNAcentral's name for it is "bacterial SSU rRNA". It matches the Rfam family "Bacterial small subunit ribosomal RNA", at positions 144 to 953 of the family's 1533-position model. Lineage: Bacteria; Bacillati; Bacillota; Bacilli; Caryophanales; Bacillaceae. The record is from RNAcentral.
UAACUCCGGGAAACCGGAGCUAAUACCGGAUAGUUCCUUGAACCGCAUGGUUCAAGGAUGAAAGACGGUUUCGGCUGUCACUUACAGAUGGACCCGCGGCGCAUUAGCUAGUUGGUGGGGUAAUGGCUCACCAAGGCGACGAUGCGUAGCCGACCUGAGAGGGUGAUCGGCCACACUGGGACUGAGACACGGCCCAGACUCCUACGGGAGGCAGCAGUAGGGAAUCUUCCGCAAUGGACGAAAGUCUGACGGAGCAACGCCGCGUGAGUGAUGAAGGUUUUCGGAUCGUAAAGCUCUGUUGUUAGGGAAGAACAAGUGCGAGAGUAACUGCUCGCACCUUGACGGUACCUAACCAGAAAGCCCACGGCUAACUACGUGCCAGCAGCCGCGGUAAUACGUAGGUGGCAAGCGUUGUCCGGAAUUAUUGGGCGUAAAGGGCUCGCAGGCGGUUUCCUUAAGUCUGAUGUGAAAGCCCCCGGCUCAACCGGGGAGGGUCAUUGGAAACUGGGAAACUUGAGUGCAGAAGAGGAGAGUGGAAUUCCACGUGUAGCGGUGAAAAUGCGUAGAGAUGUGGAGGAACACCAGUGGCGAAGGCGACUCUCUGGUCUGUAACUGACGCUGAGGAGCGAAAGCGUGGGGAGCGAACAGGAUUAGAUACCCUGGUAGUCCACGCCGUAAACGAUGAGUGCUAAGUGUUAGGGGGUUUCCGCCCCUUAGUGCUGCAGCUAACGCAUUAAGCACUCCGCCUGGGGAGUACGGUCGCAAGACUGAAACUCAAAGGAAUUGACGGGGGCCCGCACAAGCGGUGGAGCAUGUGGUUUAAUUCG